GCACAAGCGGUGGAGCAUGUGGUUUAAUUCGACGCAACGCGAAGAACCUUACCUGGGCUCGAAAUGUAGUGGAAUCCGGCAGAAACGUCGGCGUCUAGCAAUAGACCGCUAUAUAGGUGCUGCAUGGCUGUCGUCAGCUCGUGUCGUGAGAUGUUGGGUUAAGUCCCGCAACGAGCGCAACCCUUAUCUCCAGUUGCUACCAUUUAGUUGAGCACUCUGGCGAAACCGCCUCGGAUAACGGGGAGGAAGGUGGGGAUGACGUCAAGUCCUCAUGGCCUUUAUGUCCAGGGCUACACACGUGCUACAAUGGCCGGUACAAACCGCUGCAACCCCGCGAGGGUGAGCUAAUCGGAAAAAGCCGGCCUCAGUUCGGAUUGGAGUCUGCAACUCGACUCCAUGAAGCUGGAAUCGCUAGUAAUCGUGGAUCAGCAUGCCACGGUGAAUACGUUCCCGGGC
This 456-nucleotide ribosomal RNA is filed under the name uncultured bacterium. RNAcentral's name for it is "bacterial SSU rRNA". It matches the Rfam family "Bacterial small subunit ribosomal RNA", at positions 923 to 1379 of the family's 1533-position model. The record is from RNAcentral.